This 468-nucleotide ribosomal RNA is filed under the name uncultured bacterium. Its description in RNAcentral is "partial 16S ribosomal RNA". It matches the Rfam family "Bacterial small subunit ribosomal RNA", at positions 28 to 507 of the family's 1533-position model. The record is from RNAcentral.
GACGAACGCUGGCGGCGUGCUUAACACAUGCAAGUCGAACGGAAAGGCCCUGCUUUUGUGGGGUGCUCGAGUGGCGAACGGGUGAGUAACACGUGAGUAACCUGCCCUUGGCUUUGGGAUAACUUCAGGAAACUGGGGCUAAUACCGGAUAGGAGCUCCUGCUGCAUGGUGGGGGUUGGAAAGUUUCGGCGGUUGGGGAUGGACUCGCGGCUUAUCAGCUUGUUGGUGGGGUAGUGGCUUACCAAGGCUUUGACGGGUAGCCGGCCUGAGAGGGUGACCGGCCACAUUGGGACUGAGAUACGGCCAAGAGUCCUACGGGAGGAAGUAGUGGGAAAUAGUGCACAAUGGGCGGAAGCCUGAUGCAGCAACGCCGCGUGCGGGAUGACGGCCUUCGGGUUGUAAACCGCUUUCGCCUGUGACGAAGCGUGAGUGACGGUAAUGGGUAAAGAAGCACCGGCUAACUACGUG